Non-coding RNA from Castor canadensis (American beaver), 722 nucleotides. NCBI's taxonomy places the organism in Eukaryota, Metazoa, Chordata, Mammalia, Rodentia, Castoridae. The record is from RefSeq and is a predicted model, not a curated record.
UUGUCCUGUGGGGAAGGGAGACGGGUUUGUAAACCUCAGAGCCAGAUUCUACCUGCCCGAUGCCGCUGUUGUGCAGAGACCCCCGGGUGAAGCCACCAUCACCAUGUCUGACCAGGAGGCAAAACCUUCAACUGAGGACUUGGGGGAUAAGAAGGAAGGAAAAUAUAUUAAACUCAAAGUCAUCGGACAGGGUAGCAGUGAGACUGACUUCAAAGUGAAAAUGACAACAUAUCUCAAGAAACUCAAAGAAUCAUAUUGUCAAAGACAGGGCGUUCCAAUGAAGUCACUCAGGCUUCUCUUUGAAGGUCAAAGAAUUGCUGAUAAUCAUACUCCAAAAGAACUGGGAAUGGAGGAAGAAGAUGUGAUUGAAGUUCAUCAGGAACAAACGGGGGGUCAUUCAACAGUUUAGUUUUAAGUCCAAGGGUCUGGACCAAAAGAAGAGGAAUAUCAGGUUUGGAGUCAUGAUGACAAACCUGGUGAGAUUAAUGACUAACCCCAAAGAUGGCUUCACUGAAGAGAAAAGCAUAAGAUUUAAAAAAAUCUUGUCAGAAGAACCCAGAAAAGUUCUAGUUUUCAUUAGCAGUUAAUAAAGUUAUUCAUGCAGAAGUAUCCAACAGAAUACUUCUCCUUUUGAUUUUAUUUGUACUUUUUGACCUGGAACAUGGGUUUUAAAUGGACAUUGUUUGUACCAGCUUCAUUAAAAUAAACAAUAUUUGUAAAAA